This 1795-nucleotide ribosomal RNA is filed under the name Durio zibethinus. RNAcentral describes it as "SSU rRNA". It matches the Rfam family "Eukaryotic small subunit ribosomal RNA". Lineage: Eukaryota; Viridiplantae; Streptophyta; Magnoliopsida; Malvales; Malvaceae. The record is from RNAcentral.
CUUGGUUGAUCCUGCCAGUAGUCAUAUGCUUGUCUCAAAGAUUAAGCCAUGAAUUGUAAGUAUGAACUAAUUCAGACUGUGAAACUGUGAAUGGCUCAUUAAAUCAGUUAUAGUUUGUUUAAUGGUAUCUACUACUCGAAUAACCAUAGUAAUUCUAGAGCUAAUACGUGCAACAAACCCCGACUUCUGGAAGGGAUGCAUUUAUUAGAUAAAAGGUCGACGCGGGCUAUGCCCAUUGCUCUAAUGAUUCAUGAUAACAUGAUGGAUCACAUGGCCUUUGUGCCGGUGACACAUCAUUCAAAUUUUUGCCCUAACAACUUCGAUGGUAGGAUAGUGACCUACUAUGGUGGUGACGAGUGACGAAGAAUUAGGGUUCGAUUUUAGAGAGGGAACCUGAAAAAUAGCUACCACAUCUAAGAAAGGCAGCAGGCAUGCAAAUUACCCAAUCCUAACAUGAAAAGGUACUGACAAUAAAUAACAAUACCGGGCUUUAUGAGUCUAGUAAUUGGAAUGAGUACAAUCUAAAUCCCUUAAUGAAAAUCCAUUGAAGGGCAAGUCUGGUGCUAGUAUCCGCGAUAAUUCUAGCUCCAAUAGCAUAUAUUUAAGUUGUUAUAGCUAAAAACCUCAUAGUUAAAACUAGGGUUGGGUCAUCCGGUCCACCUCACGGUGAGCACUAGUCUACUCGUCCCUACUGCCGGUGAUGCGCUCCUAUACUUAAUUGCCUAGGUCAUUUCUUUGGCGAUGUUACUUUGAAGAAAUUAGAGUGCUCAAAAUAGGCCUAUGUUUGUAUACAUUAGCAUGGGAUAACAUCAUAGGAUUUCGAUCCUAUUGUGUUGGCCUUCAGGAUCGGAGUAAUGAUUAAUAGGGAUAGUCGGGAGCAUUCGUAUUUCAUAGUCAAAAGUGAAAUUCUUGGAUUUAUAAAAGAUGAACAACUGCGAAAGCAUUUGCCAAGGAUGUUUUCAUUAAUCAAGAAUGAAAGUUAGGGGCUCGAAGAUGAUCAAAUAUCGUCCUAGUCUCAACCAUAAACGAUACCGACCAGGGAUCGAUCGAUGUUACUUUUAGGACUUCGCCAGCACCUUAUGAGAAAUCAAAGUCUUUGGGUUCCGGGGGGAGUAUGGUCGCAAGGCUGAAACUUAAAGGAAUUGAUGAAAGGGCACCACCAGGAGUGGAGCCUACGGCUUAAUUUGACUCAACAUGGGGAAACUUACCAGGUCUAGACAUAGUAAGGAUUGACAGACUGAGAGCUCUUUCUUGAUUCUAUGUGUGGUGGUGCAUGGUCGUUCUCUGUUGGUGGAGUGAUUUGUCUGGUUAAUUCCGUUAGCAAACAAGACCUCAGCCUGCUAACUAGCUAUGCGAAGGUGAUCCUUCAUGGCUAGCUUCUUAGAGGGAAUAUGGCCACUUAGGCUAAGGAAGUUUAAGGCAAUAACAGGUCUGUAGUGCCCUUAAAUGUUCUAGGUUGCACGCGCGCUACACUAAUGUAUUCAACGAGUCUAUAGCUUUGGCCGAUAGGCCUGGGUAAUCUUUGAAAUUUCAUUAUGAUGGGGAUAGAUCAUUGUAAUUAUUGGUCUUCAAUGAGGAAUUCCUAGUAAGCACAAGCCAUCAGCUCACGUUGACUAUGUCCCUGCCCUUUAUACACACCGCCCAUCACUCUUACCGAUUGAAUGGUCCGGUGAAGUGUUCAGAUCGUGGUGAUGUGGAUGGUUCACCACCUGCAACGUCAUAGAAGUCCACUAAAUCUUAUCAUUUAGAGGAAGGAGAAGUCGUAACAAGGUUUUCGUAGACAAAUCUGUGGAAA